GAAGCAGGACCUUGUGGUCUUGCUAAUAAUGGUAUUGCAACCGUUGUACUAAAGUCCUUCAGGUAAAAUCAAAACCCUGGCCAAGUACCUAAUGCUUCCCAUGACCUGGAUCCUGACAAUACACCAAACCUCACCUUCCUGGCAGAUAAUAAACAUUCAAUAAAUUUUAUGUAAUAGAUGACAUCGAUCAAUACCAAGAGAGGUCUG
Long non-coding RNA from Myotis brandtii (Brandt's bat), 207 nucleotides. RefSeq lists it as uncharacterized. Lineage: Eukaryota; Metazoa; Chordata; Mammalia; Chiroptera; Vespertilionidae. The record is from RefSeq and is a predicted model, not a curated record. The transcript is spliced from 3 exons.